AUUGAACGCUGGCGGCAUGCCUUACACAUGCAAGUCGAACGGCAGCGGACCUUCGGGUGCCGGCGAGUGGCGAACGGGUGAGUAAUAUAUCGGAACGUACCUUUCGAGUGGGGGAUAACGUAGCGAAAGUUACGCUAAUACCGCAUAUUCUGUGAGCAGGAAAGCAGGGGAUCGCAAGACCUUGCGCUGAUUGAGCGGCCGAUAUCAGAUUAGCCUAGUUGGUGAGGUAAAGGCUCACCAAGGCGACGAUCUGUAGCGGGUCUGAGAGGAUGAUCCGCACACUGGAACUGAGACACGGUCCAGACUCCUACGGGAGGCAGCAGUGGGGAAUUUUGGACAAUGGGCGCAAGCCUGAUCCAGCCAUGCCGCGUGAGUGAAGUAAGGGCC
This 387-nucleotide ribosomal RNA is filed under the name uncultured bacterium. RNAcentral's name for it is "bacterial SSU rRNA". It matches the Rfam family "Bacterial small subunit ribosomal RNA", at positions 30 to 418 of the family's 1533-position model. The record is from RNAcentral.